This 417-nucleotide ribosomal RNA is filed under the name uncultured bacterium. Its description in RNAcentral is "bacterial SSU rRNA". It matches the Rfam family "Bacterial small subunit ribosomal RNA", at positions 506 to 921 of the family's 1533-position model. The record is from RNAcentral.
AGCCAGCAGCCGCGGUAAUACGGAGGGUGCGAGCGUUGUUCGGAAUUACUGGGCGUAAAGCGCGUGUAGGCGGCUUUGCAAGCCAGACGUGAAAGCCCUCGGCUUAACCGGGGAAGUGCGUCUGGAACUGCUUGGCUUGAGUACGGGAGAGGGAGGCGGAAUUCCCAGUGUAGAGGUGAAAUUCGUAGAUAUUGGGAGGAACACCGGUGGCGAAAGCGGCCUCCUGGACCGAUACUGACGCUGAGACGCGAAAGCGUGGGGAGCAAACAGGAUUAGAUACCCUGGUAGUCCACGCGGUAAACGAUGGGCACUAGGUGUGGGGGGUAUCCACUCCUCCCGUGCCGAAGCUAACGCAUUAAGUGCCCCGCCUGGGGAGUACGGCCGCAAGGUUAAAACUUAAAGGAAUUGGCGGGGGAC